UGAGGCCAUAAAACAACAUCUACUUACACUUAAGCCAAGACAUGAUCAUGAGGUUUCUUUUCAAUUGCAUAGUUCAUAGUUGGAUUUUUACAAGAACAUUUGCUUCCCUGUUUGGAUGUCGUGAGUCACAACAAGGUAUGAGCUGCUGCUAUGUUUUCUAUAUUCUAUCUCAGUAUUUUUCUUCCCUUAAAAUCUUUGUACAAAUUAUUCCAUUUCAUGUUAGUUGAUACUUUGUGUUUGCAAACAAAGCUCAGACCUAUCUCUCUCAGGGCAUUACUUCCAUACCACACAUGAUUUUAUUUUCUUUGCAGACAUCAACGAUAGGGACCAUGCUAUUGAAUGCAUUAGCUGAUUCAGAUGCCAACGGGGAAUUCUGCGAAGAGACAUUUGUGGCCAAUGUGCAGGUAUGCACGAUAAUGUGUGUGUUUCGCAUUAUCCAUUUGUUAUUGAACCUUUGUCUCUAUUCUGUCAUCAAUCAAAGGCUUCAUGCUGAGAUUGAACCAACCAUGAAAAUGAGAACCGAAGAAAAGAUUAUUAUCUCUUUCUCCCAUCAUUGGGAUCAACCCUUUUAGGCUUUCAGGUUGAGCAGCGACUUUACAUAUAAACGGACCUCCGUAACAAUUUGUACAGUGCUAGGCAAUUGAAGAAAUAUGAUAGCUCUAAAAUGCAUGCCACUUUAUUUACAAUUCUGUGCAAUUAUGGAGCAGAUAUUGAGCCCACAUAGUGCACUUCAUUAUACAACAUAUAACAUGAACGAUAUGUAAUAUUUAUCUGUCAUUACUUGUCUGGCUCGAACUCAGUAGGACAUAUCUUUUCCUGCUCACAUGGUUUCUAAAGUCAGUGACUGGCAGUUUUGGCAACACAUGGUACAUGCGCUCGGAAUGAAGGCCUGGAUGUGCUGAACAGGUUUGGCACACACUACUGGACACACUUGGUUUGAUACUACGUAACCAAAUAGACUCUGGAUUUAACACAAUUCAGCUAUAUGGUCUCCCCAAUUUAUUUCAGAGGGCUACACACUCAUCAAAUCAGUGGAUCAGAUGGAAAUUAUGCUUCUGACCCAGCUGUUAAAAUAUACAAAGCUGCAUAAAUCAACUUGAACAUUUUAGAUGUCUCAUCAAGACCUCCUCAUGUGUCUCUGUUUAUAUUCACCCAUCGAGAUUUCUAUCUAUGUACUUUGCCAAUAUGUGUCAUAUAUAAUGUAAUUAACAAAUGGGCCUACAUAAAACCUUUAAUUGACUGCCACUCAACCAAGCUCUACAGUCUACUAUUUGUUCUUCAUCUUUAAUAAACAAAAAAAUGAAAAAUUUAGAUGAGUAAGAAAACAACUUUUUACUAUUUUAUCAUUGGUUAUCGUGCGUGCAAUUUUACUAGUUUCCUUGGUCUGAAAGCCUUACCAUCAUUUUCUUCUUGCAGGCGGCCAUGGCAAGAGCAUAUUGUGCAGAGGACGUGGAUGAGAAGAAACUUAUGGUUCUCAUUCAAUCUUUGUGGAACUCUCUUUAUGUGCGAUUGUGCAUUUGUUGGAACCUUUUUUCUGUGCACUUGCACAAGUAUUCUGUUGUGCACAUGUAAAAUUAUUUUGAUGUGUCCUUGUUAGGUGUUGAACCUUAAUGCGUGGAGUCAGUGGAUGAUGUAUUGUAUUUGAUGUGAUAUGCUAUUGAAAUGAAAUAUACAUUUUAUUUGCAAUCUUUUAUUUUGUUGUACUUAUUUUUAAUGGGCCUAUCUUGAGAUAUGCGUGCUUCUAGCAAAAAAAAUGCUU
RNAcentral lists this long non-coding RNA (1759 nucleotides) under Hordeum vulgare. RNAcentral's name for it is "long non-coding RNA (HVUL_LNC012864)". Lineage: Eukaryota; Viridiplantae; Streptophyta; Magnoliopsida; Poales; Poaceae. The record is from RNAcentral.